AAGUCGUAACAAGGUUUCCGUAGGUGAACCUGCGGAAGGAUCAUUACAGAAUAAACUUGAUAAGUUGUAGCUGGCUCCAUUCGAGCAUGUGCACACUUGUCAUCUUUAUCUUUCCACCAUGUGCACUACGCAUAGGUUCUGAUGAAGUUUUUAAUCAAGGGUUUCUAAAAUCCUUGGUUAUCUUGGAAACUGCUGUUGGCAACAACGGCUUUUUCUGUUUCUCAGUUCCUAUGACUUAUAAAAUACACCAUAUAUGUUAACGAACGUUUAAAUGGGCGCUUGUAGCCUAUAUAUUAUAAUACAACUUUCAGCAACGGAUCUCUUGGCUCUC
Molecule: unclassified non-coding RNA, 331 nt
Filed under: Conocybe singeriana
Lineage: Eukaryota; Fungi; Basidiomycota; Agaricomycetes; Agaricales; Bolbitiaceae
Description: partial internal transcribed spacer region
Rfam family: Eukaryotic small subunit ribosomal RNA (bases 1-46)
Source: RNAcentral